AUACGGAGGGUGCAAGCGUUAAUCGGAAUUACUGGGCGUAAAGCGCGCGUAGGCGGCUUUGUAAGUCGGAUGUGAAAGCCCUGGGCUCAACCUGGGAAUUGCAUUCGAUACUGCAGAACUAGAGUAUGGUAGAGGGAAGUGGAAUUUCCGGUGUAGCGGUGAAAUGCGUAGAUAUCGGAAGGAACACCAGUGGCGAAGGCGACUUCCUGGGCCAAUACUGACGCUGAGGUGCGAAAGCGUGGGGAGCAAACAGGAUUAGAAACCCCAGUAGUCC
Molecule: ribosomal RNA, 274 nt
Filed under: uncultured bacterium
Lineage: Bacteria
Description: partial 16S ribosomal RNA
Rfam family: Bacterial small subunit ribosomal RNA
Source: RNAcentral